RNAcentral lists this ribosomal RNA (502 nucleotides) under uncultured Glomeromycotina. RNAcentral describes it as "partial small subunit ribosomal RNA". It matches the Rfam family "Eukaryotic small subunit ribosomal RNA", at positions 591 to 1092 of the family's 1831-position model. The record is from RNAcentral. Lineage: Eukaryota; Fungi; Glomeromycota.
CCAAUAGCGUAUAUUAAAGUUGUUGCAGUUAAAAAGCUCGUAGUUGAACUUCGGGGUUUACCCAUUGGUCAGGCUUAAUUGUCUGUACUGGUGAGAUAAAUCUCUACCUUCUGAGGAACUUUCAUGCCAUUUAUUUGGUGUGAUUGGAAAUCAGGACUAUUACUUUGAAAAAAUUAGAGUGUUUAAAGCAGGCUAACGUCUGAAUAUAUUAGCAUGGAAUAAUGAAAUAGGACGGCUUGGUUCUAUUUCGUUGGUUUCUAGGAUCACCGUAAUGAUUAAUAGGGAUAGUUGGGGGCAUUAUUAUUCAAUUGUCAGAGGUGAAAUUCUUGGAUUUAUUGAAGACUAACUACUGCGAAAGCAUUUGCCAAGGAUGUUUUCAUUAAUCAAGAACGAAAGUUAGGGGAUCGAAGACGAUCAGAUACCGUCGUAGUCUUAACCAUAAACUAUGCCGACUAGGGAUCGGACGAAGUUAAUUUUAUAAUGACGCGUUCGGCACCUUACG